UACGGAGGGGGCUAGCGUUGUUCGGAAUUACUGGGCGUAAAGCGCACGUAGGCGGGUCGCUAAGUCGGGGGUGAAAUCCUGGGGCUCAACCUCAGAACUGCCUUCGAUACUGGCGACCUUGAGUACGGGAGAGGUGAGUGGAAUUCCCAGUGUAGAGGUGAAAUUCGUAGAUAUUGGGAAGAACACCAGUGGCGAAGGCGGCUCACUGGCCCGUAACUGACGCUGAGGUGCGAAAGCGUGGGGAGCACACAGG
RNAcentral lists this ribosomal RNA (253 nucleotides) under uncultured bacterium. Its description in RNAcentral is "partial 16S ribosomal RNA". It matches the Rfam family "Bacterial small subunit ribosomal RNA", at positions 524 to 776 of the family's 1533-position model. The record is from RNAcentral.